UUAUGAUAUUGCUUCCUCUAUCUAGGCUAAUGGUUUCUUUGGCGCUAAAGGUGUUGCUGGUAGUUUACCUGCUGCAUAUACACAUAUAUCCAAACACUUCUACUCAAGGGUAUGUCGUAGUAAUCAAGAAAAUAGAAUUAAAAUUUUUGAAUAUUUCAGAAAUUGUUGGACAUUUCACGGCAAAGGUCUCUGGUACAACUUAAGAAAUGAAUCACUGCCAUCACUCACUUUAUUGGGAUCUCCUAACUUUGGACAUCGAUCUGUCAAACGUGACUUGGAAGUACAGUUAGCAGUAGUAACAACCAAUGAAGGCUUGAGAAGACAACUAUAUGAUGAACAGAAGAGUUUAUAUGGAAGGAGCAACAAUGUUACGAAAGAGACAUUUGAGAAACCAGAGAGAUAUGUGAAAUACUGGGAGAGAAUAGUGACUUGGUUCAUCUGGAAGCAUCUAUAAUGUAACAAUUCACAAUUAUUUAACUUGCCAUAUUAGAUAUGAAAACAGUGUUCAUAUCACUGAGCACCAAAAUGUUACAUUAUCCAUAUAACAAUUGUAUGCAUGCUGGAAACAAAAUAAAAAAAGCUCAAGGCCCCCCCCC
This is a long non-coding RNA of Saccoglossus kowalevskii, 596 nucleotides long. The record is from RefSeq and is a predicted model, not a curated record. Lineage: Eukaryota; Metazoa; Hemichordata; Enteropneusta; Harrimaniidae.